RNAcentral lists this long non-coding RNA (1242 nucleotides) under Cricetulus griseus (Chinese hamster). RNAcentral's name for it is "lncRNA (ENSCGRG00015031720.1)". Lineage: Eukaryota; Metazoa; Chordata; Mammalia; Rodentia; Cricetidae. The record is from RNAcentral.
AAAAAAAAAAAAGAUAUACUUGUGCUCCAAACUGCAAAAGGGAAUCUGCACGUACAUUUUAUUAAUAGCUCGGUAAGUAUACACCAUUAGUGGUUUCUUUGUUCUAAGUCAGCCCAGGUGCUCCUGUGGGAGUAAAGGUUGAAAUCAUCAGACGUUUAAGAACACUCAGCAAUUCAAGAAGCCCUGAGGGCAAGAUGGGGCCAGCAAGAUUAGUCAGUAUUCUGGCAGGCAACGCUCCUGGGUGCCACACACAACAAAGGAAAGGACACAAAGGUGAGAGGAAGUCAUGUUGGGGUGUCUGGGGAAUGAGAGUAAACAAGAUCAUGGAUGCAUGUAUGAUGUUUAUUUAUUUCUGUAGGGGGCCGUUUCCUACAUAAUGGUGCCUGAAGACACCAAGAUGUAAAUUACUUCACAGGCGCUGGGUAAUCUCCAUUCCUUUGAUCUCUGCCUAUCCCGUGGCUCAUUUGGCCUGAGGAGCUGAAGCCAUUCAUAGGGUAACACGUCCCAGGCGGCUGGCCAGCCUUUUUAAGGGAUGGGUUUCUUAGUUCAGAGUCUCCGCUCUGGUAAGCUUAUGCUCUCCCCAACUCUCAAGAUGCAUUAAAGCUUGUCUGCAGAAGGAUCCGAGUGUCCUGUGCGUGUAUUUCUUGCCGGCGAGAAAAUACAGCACGCGCAAGACAUAUGGUGCCGAAACCCGGGAACAUGUGAACAUCGCUGGCACCGCGGAGACCCCUCUAACGGGGCGGAUUCAGAACUGCAGGGUGGUAAAUUUGGAGAGGAUGAAGAGAAUCCCCUGUGGAUCCCAGAAAGACUCAACCCGAAGAGCCCCUUCGGACCUUCAAAAGUUGGAACUCCACCCUCUCCCCGGGAGUUGAGAGCCGCUAUUGUUAUCCAGAUUAACUCCUGUCCUUGGCGGAGAGAUUGUAUCGCUAAAGGGGUGGGGGUGGAAUUGUUUGAUGCAGCCGUUUGCAGAUUGGUGUUACUUUUGGCUGGCAUGUAAGCUCGAGGGCUCAAAACUAAAGAGAGAUCGCCCAAGCGCUUAUAUUUUGGCUAACUAUGCUUAAGCAAUAGGUCGCCGGCCAGACAGCUCUUGCACACCCGGAGCCUAGGCUCAUUGCACAGGGUAGAGUGUCUGGUUUGGGCAGCCCAAUGAGGGAUGCUGAGCAAAGGCAUCGCACAGAGUUGCCUAAUAUGCAGGCUUCUCUGAGAGGUACGUUGACCUGCAUAAGGGUUACCUGCCCCGAG